RNAcentral lists this long non-coding RNA (363 nucleotides) under Olea europaea subsp. europaea. Lineage: Eukaryota; Viridiplantae; Streptophyta; Magnoliopsida; Lamiales; Oleaceae. The record is from RNAcentral.
UGUGGCUGUGUCGUAGCUUCCUUCCCCGUGGUAUCACUCCCUCUGAUGGGCAAGAGGAGACACAAUACUUCCCAUUUAGGUGCUGGGUCAACACAAUAGCACCAGAAAUAAUCCCUUUUAAAUAUUUACAAUCAUAAACUGAUUAUAAUUUUUUUGUUCGCACCGGGGUUCGAACUCGGGACCUUCUGCAUGGUAAGCCAACGCUUAUACCACUAGACUAGCCAUGCUAUUAAACAUAUGCAGGGUGUAUAAAAAAAGUAGCCAGUCGAAAUAUCUCGACUAUGGAAGCGAUUUUCAAAAAACCCUGAAACACAUGUCUUAUUAUAUGAAAGGGGAAACUUUUUCAGGGGUGUUUCAUUUUCU